UGGGCCAUUCUAUUGUUUCUCAUAGGCAGUAUGAUAAUGAGUCAGGGUGUCUAGUAGAUUUAAAUGGAGAACAUUUGUUUGUGCAUAUUACAGUUAAAAAUGCAUUUCUUGGAUAAAUCUCUAAAGACGGGUUUCUUUUCUGCUAAAUGUUGGUAUGGAUAUGGUAAAAAAAAAAAAUGAAA
This is a long non-coding RNA of Spea bombifrons (plains spadefoot toad), 182 nucleotides long. RefSeq lists it as uncharacterized. The record is from RefSeq and is a predicted model, not a curated record. NCBI's taxonomy places the organism in Eukaryota, Metazoa, Chordata, Amphibia, Anura, Pelobatidae. The transcript has 2 exons.